RNAcentral lists this long non-coding RNA (220 nucleotides) under Carica papaya (papaya). RNAcentral's name for it is "long non-coding RNA (CPAP_LNC003869)". Lineage: Eukaryota; Viridiplantae; Streptophyta; Magnoliopsida; Brassicales; Caricaceae. The record is from RNAcentral.
GCUUAAUUUGUUUUUGUUAGAAAAAAUCAAGAGAUAGGCUAACUGAAUAUAAUAAUUUGCUGAAAUAUGAGAGGAAGAAGUAAGAGAGACUAAUUGAUAAACUCAAGUUUUGAUUUGUGGUAGAUACUAAAAGUCUUCAAGUACAUGGGUAUUUAUAGGUACUAGUACUCCUUCUAUUAAUACUACUAAUACUAAUACUACUACUACUACUAAUACUACU